ACAGUCCAGGGGAGGAAACAGCCCAGGAGGGAAUUUCAGCAGAGCAUGAUGCAAGCUGCGAUAAGGGCACUGAAGAAACAAAAGCGAAUAUCAUAGACCUAGACUCUGCUUUUCUGGGAGCUGAGGGGCACAGAUCCUAAAUCAAAGGAUCUCACAAUAAAACACAGACAGUGAGAAGCGCUGUCAGGGAAGGCUUCUCUAAGGUGAGGCAAACCAGCUGGUUUGGUACUUUGUUCGGCCACUAUCCAGUGAGUACCCACUGGGUCAGACACUGCUGAGUGCAAGGAUGCAGGGUGAGGAAGACGGACCCAGUUCCUGCCCUCAAGGGGCUGACAUUCCAGUAAAGGAGAUGCACCAAUAAAUGGACAACGACAGCACGGCGAGGCAAAUGCAGCUAGAGCUACAGAGGGGCUGUGGGCGCAGGGAGGGCUUCUGGAUGGAGGGGGUGAGCAGGAGUUAGGGAUUGCGCGUGGGGUGGGAGAGGGGCUGGCGGGGUGUCUCUGGCGACCUGCUGGGCUCAGGAGGCUGCGGGGAAUGGUGGGAGAAGAUGCUGUAGCCUUGGAAGAAGGUCAAGGUCCACUAGAAGGAGAGCCAAGGCCGUGGAUGCAGGAAGGCAGAGGGUGCUUGCUGGGCUCCCGCUGUCUCCCCAUCUCUGCCCGUGCCUCCUCUUUCUGUCCUUCUCUAUCUGUCUCUGUUUCUCCCUGUCAGCACCUGACCGUCUCUCAGAUUCUCUCAUUGUCUCUCUUGGCCUCUCGGCCUCUCUUUCUCUGACUCUCUCUUGUCUGCUCUAAAAAAAAAAAAAAAAAAAAAAAAAAAACCCAGGCGGGUGGGCUGGAAGCAAGGCCAGGGGCACAAGGACAGCUGAGCACAGGGACAGGCUGUGACUGAAUGUUCUGUUUUGGAAAGACAGCUCUGGUCAGGGGCGAAGGUGGCUGACCACGAAACUUGAUAACCUGGCCAAACUCAGUUUUAGCCAGUCUUCUGGCCGGCAGCCCUGUGACCCCGUGGGUGCCGCGCAGAAUUUUCCCAGAGGGAGGGGGAGAUGGGGAAAUGGCCCACGGGCAGUUUCUCCUCUGGCGACCAGGACCAACAGGGAUGGCAAUAAGGGAAUGGUGCAUUCUCCAGUGUGACCUCAGUGUGGCUCAGACCAGGAAAGGCCUGCUUAUCUCUGUGCACUUUCCAAAGGUUUAACGAUUUAUUAAGCACUUACUGUGUGCCAGGCACCGCGCCGUGUACACCACCGCUAACCCUCUCAAGUGGAGCGCUGAGGUCUAAGACCAUGGACUGUGAGCCAGAAUGUUUGAGUUUGAAUCCCGGCUUUGCAAAUUUCUAACUGUGACUUUGUGUAAGUUACUCAAGCCCUUUCUUCAGGUGUAAAAAUGGGAAGAAAGUAGCAGAGUCUCAGCCAUCGGAGGGCAGGUGAAUACUGGCUAGUACCUGUAAAGGGCUCACACGACUGCCUGGCAUAUAGUAACUGCUCAAGAAAAAUCGAAGCUAUUAUGAUUUCAGCCUUGAAGGAAAGAGAUAAAGCUAAGGAGGUAGAGUGAGUCACGUUCCAAUUCCUGCUUCAUCACUUCCCAGCUCUGUGACCUUGGUUAAAUCUCAAAACAUAAGUAGGUGUCCGUUUUCUUACCUGUUCAGUAAGUAUACUCUUAGGUCUCACCUUAUCAGGGGGCUGAGAGCUUCUGUGGAUGUGAAAAGCAGAUGGAAAGCGUUCGGAAAAAAUUCAUGUUUUCCCCACGUGUCCAGGAGGUUCCACGAUUCCAGAACAUCUACGAUUGCUCGGUCUCAGGCUUUUCCUGUCCUAGGAGACAGCGGUGAUCUGUUGGGGAUGGAUCAAGGCCCCUUGGCACCCCAUCCUUCUGCUGCCGGCACUAUCGACCCAUUUCACAGCAGUAGAAACUGAGGUCUGUGAGGUAAACAGGCUGCCCAAGGCAAAAGAUUUGCAAGUACCUGCACCCCUGAGCUGCGCUUGACCUGAACUCCUGGGACAACCCCACCAUUUCCUCUGCCAUCAGAGGCAACUGGGUCCUGGCCCUCUCUCACACCCAGCUGCAAUUUCCUGCCUCCAUAUGCCCUGCGCCUGGCUCGGUGCUAGUCUCAGAAAUGUUGGUUGUACCAGACAGAAUCUACAAGCCCAAAGAGCUAUGCUGUCCUUGAAUUAUCUCUCAGCAUCCUUAGCCUUCUUCCUUAUCCUCUGCCAGCCAACCAGAAGGAAACGCAACAUGGCCAUUGCAUCCCUAAGUCCUCCUCUCGCUACCAGGGCGAGAAGCAGGUGACAAGCAUAGGCAAUGUGAAGGAGGGGACAGAAGCGGGUCUGGAGCCCCAGAGCCCCAGGUUCUCAUGCCUUGGCUGUGUAACUUUGGACAUGAGUCCUCCCCUCUCUGAGUCUCGGUUUCCUCAUCUGUAGAAUGGGUACAAUCAUCACAAUGUCCACUCCUUCAGUUGAUAUGCAGAAUAGAGAGAGCAUGGGUAGAGCACUAGGCAUGGAUCAGGUCUCAGAAAAUGAGAACCAUCCCCGCUAGGUGGGGGUGGGGGUGGUGGCUGAACCCCUCUCUCCCCACCCCAGUCCUUCAAGCCCAGUUUGGCUCUUCUUGGUCAAUGGUGAGCUCCUCAUGAGACAGUAUAGUGGUUAUGAGCAUGAGCCCUGGGGUCAGCUGCCUGGCGUCAAAUCCUGCCUCUGCCACAUGUUAGCUGCCUGAUCGCAGACUUAAGUGACAGAAGCGCUCUGGGACUUAGUCUCUCCACGCAAGAAGUAGAUGUAUAAUAAUCCCCACCUCUUUGAACUGUUGUGAUGAUCAAAUGAAUUUACAAAUGUAAAGGCUAGGAUCCUGCCAGGCACACGAUGAGAGCUUAUAGAAGUGUUUGCUGCGCCUCGGGGAUUGAGGGGGAGAGGGGUCCUGGUGGCUUUUGCACAAUUUACAAGGAUCUCAGGGCCAGGGAUGGAAUAGGGGAGCUGGGGACAAAUCCUGAUCUGAACUGGGGGUGGAUUUUCAAAAGCAAGGCCACCAUACUGGGAAAAGGGCUUUUCCCCUGAAGGGCUGCACCACAUCCGGCCUCCCCGGGAGCCCAGUGUGGUGCUUGAACAUCUUUGUAAGGGGGAGCUCCAUCCUUCCGGUUGCUCAGCUCAGCCUCAAACCUUGGAGUCAUCCCUGAGGUUUGAUGUCUGCCACACUGGCUCCAGCAGUGUCCUGUCAACCCUUACAACAGAUCUAGAACAUGAAACGGUGGCCUUCCCGCUGCCUCCACACCUCCAGUGUCCACCCCUGGGCCUGGUCACCAGCAUCUUUGGCCUGGACCAUUGCUGUCACCUCCUCCCUGACUGGUCCAUUCUCCACACACAGUCAGGGGGUUUUUUUAAGAAUCUGGGUCAGAAUAUGCUGACAUGCUCAGGACCCUCUGUGGUCCCCAUCUGUCGCAGCGGAAAGCCUGGGUCUUCCUAGGACGUGCAAGGCCCUCCAAGAUCUGGCCCCCUCUCUGCCCUCACUGUCUCCCACGCUGCCCCUCGCUCACAGUGGCCCGGCCACACCAGCUUCCCCAUCAUCCUCACAUGUGCCGGGCACAAUCCAGCCUCGGGGCCUUUGCACUUGCCGCUUUCCUCUGCCGGGAAGGCUCUUCCUCAGAUAUCCCCGUUGCUCAAGCCCUCAUCUCUUUCAAGUUUGUCCUCAAAUAUUUGCUCAGCGAGGCCUGCCCUGGCCCUGCUCCCGCAUUAGACCUGUACUUCUCUGAGACACUCCAUCUCCCUUUCCUGGUUUAUUUUUCUUCUUAGCACUCAUGCUAAGGAGACACAUCUGAAAUACAAUAUAUUCAAUCUACCUGUUAACGUGUAUCCCCGGCUGCCCCCAACUCCAAAAUGUCAGCAGGAGCAGGUUUUGGACAUAAGUGGGAGCGGCCUCUUAGCACUUGCUGAGGCCUGGACACUGUUCCAGGGACUCCAGACCCAGCAGAGCGAACCACUGGGUCCCUGACUUCUCUCGACACUUCAGCCUCAUGGAAUUGAAUCCAGCGCCGCCAGGAACCGAGCAGGAAACUUUGAACCAGUGAGGGCAUGGCUCCUCGGCCUUAGUUUCCCCAUCUGUGAAUGGGAAGGCAAUCCCUCCCUCCCAAGGCUUUUGUGAGGCUCAAUGAGCAAAUGUCUCGGAAGCAUCUGGCACCCUGUGGGCCCUCCCUUAGAGCUCUGUCCCCGCUGUCCAGCCUCCGUGCUGGCUGUCCCCCAGGGAACUGUCCUGUGAGCGUUAUUUUUAACCGUGGCUCCGGCGGGCUGGGCAGCGGCUCUGCAGGCGGAGGGAGACCACAGGACCAGCCACAUCCCGGUUCUCCCCUGACUCCGGGAGACUGCGGCGUGGAAACAUCAGGGGAGGCCGCCCUGUGUUCAUACUCUGCCCCGUAACCCUUUAUGUGAAAUUAUGUCAUGUCACCCGAUGCUGUUUACAAACUUAGCGCUGACCUUUCUCAAGCAGGGCGCUGGGGGAAGGGGCUACAGCCCAGUCUCCCCACUGCUCCACCUCUACCAGGAAUGGUUGGUGGCCCCUCCUGUUAGCCCACAUUUCCACGGAGCAAAGUUGGGGGGCUGGCCUCUGGCCAGACUUUGCCCGUUUGUUUUAACAACUCCGAGUGCUCGCAGCUGACCAGCCCUGGGGUAUUUUUAAACCCUGGCCUGGGCCAACCUCUUUGUCACAUUCUGGUCGGGCUUGGAUUGAACACAUGUCCCAGUUCGGGUAGCUGAGGCUCGGGAGUUGUUUGACAACAAACAUUUAACCAAAUUCCAGGACCUGUGAGCCUACUGUGUGCCGGGCUCUAUAGCAGGAACAGAAGGCUCAGAGGGCCUAAGUCACAGAGCCUGUCCUCAAGGUGGCCUCAAUCCAGAGGGGACACUGUGACACAUGCUAGAAUGGAGGCUAAGACAGCAAUUACAACUCAAAUACCUACAGGGCCAGCGGGUUAUGUAAAUGAAUGAAGGGGGCCUGGUGUGUGGCGACUGGGAGGGGUGGGGCCGAGCUGAGCUGGCAAGCUCACGGCCUGUCUGAAGGGGGCGGCCGCUCCUCAGCUCUGACCUCUGUCGUCACAAGGGAAUCCAGCCCAGCGUGCCCAGAGCUUCUGAAUUUCCAAGAGAAGCUGCAAAUCCAGAUUUAUGUGGAAUUUCAUGCAAAAGUCUCAUGACUUUUAAAUGCUGGCAAUAAAUUUUUUAAAAAUGUUAAAAACAUCCUGAGAGCCAAAUGAAACCCGUUUGUGGGCUGCACUCAGCACAAGGAGUCAAGUUGAUGGGGCAAACAGUUUGUGCUUUCUGAUGCAAACAGAUGCAUUAUAAAAUGUUUGGCAAAUACAAGCUGAGCACCUACUAUGGGCUCCUUCUACUGUUCCAGAGCCGAAGAAGCAGCAGGAACCAAGAUGGACCAUAUCCCUGUCCUCAUCUGCGUGUAUCCAGUGAUGUGUUGGGGCUGGCUGGUACGAGCUGGCAAAUUCUGCAAGCUGGUUUCUACACAGCCAUCAUUAAAAAUUAAAUUAUUUGAACUUACAUUUAAAUAAAUGAUAAUACAAAUAAA
RNAcentral lists this long non-coding RNA (5543 nucleotides) under Sus scrofa (pig). Its description in RNAcentral is "lncRNA (ENSSSCG00050061226.1)". Lineage: Eukaryota; Metazoa; Chordata; Mammalia; Artiodactyla; Suidae. The record is from RNAcentral.